Molecule: ribosomal RNA, 447 nt
Filed under: uncultured bacterium
Lineage: Bacteria
Description: partial 16S ribosomal RNA
Rfam family: Bacterial small subunit ribosomal RNA
Source: RNAcentral
GAGCCAGACUCCUACGGGAGGCAGCAGUGGGGAAUAUUGCACAAUGGGGGAAACCCUGAUGCAGCGACGCCGCGUGAGUGAAGAAGUCUUUCGGUAUGUAAAGCUCUAUCAGCAGGGAAGAAAAUGACGGUACCUGACUAAGAAGCCCCGGCUAACUACGUGCCAGCAGCCGCGGUAAUACGUAGGGGGCAAGCGUUAUCCGGAUUUACUGGGUGUAAAGGGGGCGCAGACGGCAGCGCAAGCCAGGAGUGAAAGCCCGGGGCCCAACCCCGGGACUGCUCUUGGAACUGCGCGGCUGGAGUGCAGGAGGGGCAGGCGGAAUUCCUGGUGUAGCGGUGAAAUGCGUAGAUAUCAGGAGGAACACCGGUGGCGAAGGCGGCCUGCUGGACUGCGACUGACGUUGAGGCCCGAAAGCGUGGGGAGCAAACAGGAUUAGAUACCCCCGUA